Molecule: non-coding RNA, 24 nt
Filed under: Mus musculus (house mouse)
Lineage: Eukaryota; Metazoa; Chordata; Mammalia; Rodentia; Muridae
Source: RNAcentral
UGAAAGUUUGAUUCUGUUUGUGCA